RNAcentral lists this ribosomal RNA (479 nucleotides) under Selar crumenophthalmus (bigeye scad). RNAcentral's name for it is "partial small subunit ribosomal RNA". It matches the Rfam family "Bacterial small subunit ribosomal RNA", at positions 788 to 1491 of the family's 1533-position model. The record is from RNAcentral. Lineage: Eukaryota; Metazoa; Chordata; Actinopteri; Carangiformes; Carangidae.
CACUAUGCUUAGUCCUAAACAUUGAUUAUUUUUCACAUCAAUACAUCCGCCUGGGGAUUACGAACAUUAGUUUAAAACCCAAAGGACUUGGCGGUGCUUAAUAACCCCCUAGAGGAGCCUGUUCUAGAACCGAUAAUCCCCGUUCAACCUCACCCUCCCUAGUUUUUCCCGCCUAUAUACCACCGUCGUCAGCUUACCCUGUGAAGGAUUUAUAGUGAGCAUAACUGGUAAAGCCCAGAACGUCAGGUCGAGGUGUAGUGCAUGAGAGGGGAAGAAAUGGGCUACAUUCGCUGCCCCAGCGAACACGAAUGAUGCAUUGAAACAUGCAACUGAAGGUGGAUUUAGCAGUAAGUGGGAAGCAGAGAGUCCCACUGAAACUGGCUCUUAAGCGUGCACACACCGCCCGUCACCCUCCCCAAGCCCCUGGACCUAAAUUUCCCGUCAAACCAAAACAAACGCGAAGGUGAGGAAAGUCGUAA